Molecule: transfer RNA, 30 nt
Filed under: Rhododendron sanctum
Lineage: Eukaryota; Viridiplantae; Streptophyta; Magnoliopsida; Ericales; Ericaceae
Description: partial tRNA-His
Source: RNAcentral
GGCGAAUGUACCCAAGUGGUUAAGGCAGUA